This is a non-coding RNA of Equus caballus (horse), 1050 nucleotides long. Lineage: Eukaryota; Metazoa; Chordata; Mammalia; Perissodactyla; Equidae. The record is from RefSeq and is a predicted model, not a curated record.
GGCUAACUGAACGUCCUCUCUCCUCAUGAAGUCUCAGGUCCUCUCCACGUGGUCUCUCCACAGGGCUGGAUCAGGCUUCCGCACAGCGUGGCGGCCUGGACUGCUCACACAGUGGCUGCAGCCAUCAAGAACAGGCAGCCCAGGAAGAAAGUAGCCUCUGCACCUCCUUUUUGAACCUGCCUGGGAAAUCACCGUGGCCCUUGUCUUUUGGUUCUGUAACAAAAACCCGCUCAGAUGCAAGGGGUGGGGACACAGGCAGCGCUUGCUGAUGGGAGCAGUGACAAAGUCACCUUGUGACGUGCACUGGGAUGGGAGACGCUGUUGCGGCCAUCUUUGGGAAAUGCAGUUGUUCACAGGCUGCCAUAGCCCUCCCCUCCCUCGGGGUGGGCCACAUGCCAUCAUUCUCAAGGGAGGGGCCAGGCAGCCGCAGGAGGGAGUCGGGACCCAGGACCACUGGCGGGGCAUCAUCAAUUUCUUUUGAGUGGGGCGGGGGGCUAAAAGGGCUGGCUUUGGCCGAGCUCAUAAAAAUACUUGUUAACCUCCACAGAGGAGUUCCUCCAUGCCAGACGCGCUGCCUCGCGUACUUUACACUCCCUGUCUUGUUUAAGCAUCAGCCUGAGUCUGGGAGGAGAGUCCAUUAGCAUCCACACUUACAGAUGAGGAAACUGAGGCUUGCGGAGGCCAGGGGACAGACACAGUUGCCUUGUCUUUAUCUCUGAACAGUACAGGACCUCUACACAGCGCCUGCUUCUACGUGAGAUGGACUAUCAUGGAAACUACACAGAUGAGGAAAUGAGGCUCUGAGAGGUCAACGACCUGCCUGAGUCACAUAGCCAGCGAGUGGGAGCGUCAGCAACCGAACCCAGAAACACCGCUUCCCAGCCACCUGGCUACCCUCGUCCACCCCUUGCUGAAGCCUCUGAGCCCUGUUCGUGUCUGCUCAGUGACGAGCCUGUCAGUGGCCCAAGGUGAUCCUGGAGAGAGCCGCUCCUCAGUGCCGGGCGAGUGGGCUGUGGGAACCUAAAACCCAUCGUGUUCAUUACAAAUGAA